Molecule: ribosomal RNA, 426 nt
Filed under: uncultured bacterium
Lineage: Bacteria
Description: partial 16S ribosomal RNA
Rfam family: Bacterial small subunit ribosomal RNA
Source: RNAcentral
GUUAGGAAUCUUCCACAAUGGGGGCAACCCUGAUGGAGCAACACCGCGUGCUGGAUGAAGGCCUUCGGGUCGUAAACAGCUUUUGUAUACGAAGAAUAUGACGGUAAUAUACGAAUAAGGGUCGGCUAACUACGUGCCAGCAGCCGCGGUCAUACGUAGGACCCAAGCGUUAUCCGGAGUGACUGGGCGUAAAGAGUUGCGUAGGCGGCUUAUUAAGCGAGUAGUGAAAUCUGGUGGCUCAACCAUCAACACAUUGCGCGAACUGAUAGGCUUGAGAAUGGUAGAGGUAGUUGGAAUUUCUUGUGUAGGAGUGAAAUCCGUAGAUAUAAGAAGGAACACCAAUGGCGUAGGCAGACUACUGGACCAUUUCUGACGCUGAGGCACGAAAGCGUGGGGAGCGAACCGGAUUAGAUACCCUUGUAGUCC